ACCAGUUUGGCAGAUAAAUGCAUUAGAUUUAGGAUCUAAUUAUAAGAGAUUCUUAACUGGUA
Molecule: transfer RNA, 62 nt
Filed under: Streptocephalus cafer
Lineage: Eukaryota; Metazoa; Arthropoda; Branchiopoda; Anostraca; Streptocephalidae
Description: tRNA-Leu
Source: RNAcentral